GGUAGGGAGGAACGAAGGCCGGAGGAAGACAAGCGUGACUUCGCGUAUCCUCCGAACGACCGAGGGUCGCGGAGGCUGCAAGGAGGAAAAUCCGUGGAAGACGUAGGUGGCGGUACUGUGAUUACGCGAAAAACCUUCUACCUGCGGAGUUAAGAUGGACCGACACGCUCGAAGGAGUCUCUGACGCGUCGCAUCCGCAACUGUGCUCUUACGCAACGUUCCGCGCGGCACGUUUCUCGCUCCGCAUUAUUGUUACUUUCGUGCCUGUCGUCUGUUCUUCCAAGUGUCGUCGUCGUCGUCAUCGUCGUCGUUGUCGUCGUCGUUGUCGUCGUCGUCGUCGUCAUCCACUUGUUGUACCUAGAAUCGCGAUUACUCAGCAGUACGUGAGAGGCUCUCACGAGGUCGACCUUGAGGAAGAUUGAGUUCAACACGGUGAAGAGGGAAACUGGCGCCAAGAAGAUCUCGCUACAGCCACUCAUUAUUUCAGUCCGCAAUGAGACUCGGCUACAUAAUCGCGAGUCGGUUGAGAGCCGGCAAGACGCGAGAUACGAGUCAAAGAAGGAAGAAGAGAAGCUGCCGGCUCGCCUUAUACGAGGCGCGAAUCUCGCGGCAUGAAAUCGCCGCGACGAGAGAAAACCUACGGGGCUUUAUAAUGGGUCGGGGCCGGGUGGGUUCUCAGGACGAGCCACGGGGAGAAAGAGAGAAAGAGAGAACAGGUGCGUGACGUCAGGUGGGCAGUACUUCAGGGCCGCGCGAAUGAGGCCCCUCGCUACUUUUCACUGAAACAGAUCGUCGGUCAAACGGCGCCGCCGCGUGCACCUCAACGUGCUGCAACCUCAUCUACGGUGUACUCUAUUUCUUAUAUCCGCAUUAACUGUGAUAUCAGUAGCGUAACGCAAAUAAAAUUGUUAUAAAAUUAUAUUGACAUGUGGAUUUUAGAUGAGCAAUCAAAAAAAUGAAAAGUUAUCUCUCUACUCAAUUCUGAUCUCUUAAGAGAG
Odontomachus brunneus is the source of this 998-nucleotide long non-coding RNA. RefSeq lists it as uncharacterized. NCBI's taxonomy places the organism in Eukaryota, Metazoa, Arthropoda, Insecta, Hymenoptera, Formicidae. The record is from RefSeq and is a predicted model, not a curated record. The transcript has 3 exons.